UUAUCUCAGGACUGGAUUUAAAUACAGCAAACAAGUCAGUCACCACCCACAUGGUUGAUAUUAAUGAAGACCUAGGUCAUGUGACACACACACAGGGCUCGGCUGCUUUCAUUGGGUGUCAGCUGAUAGAAUCACAAUAGAGCCACUCAGCAUGGUCGUUACCCGUUUGUCACGUUACACCACUUCCUGUGUGCCGGGACAAAGUUUACCGCAGCACAUGGUGAUUGGUGGAUGACCUCAUCGUAGUGUCUUUUACUGACUGACAGGCCAGCCGACCAAUCAGAGGCACCGCAUCCUCUGCCACAAACCAAACAGGUGUGUCGGCUGUUGAAGUGCUGCUGAAACUCCUCCCACUCUGAUGUGGUGUGAGAAAGUUCAAAAUCUGAACACAGCUGGGAGAGCGCCUUUAUCCCGUCCUCCUGUUCACACACAGACGCACACACACAGCGUAGAUACAGAGGAGAGGUUCACACACACAGACGCUCACCUGGCUGUUGAAGCCAUGUCGCAAACACUCACUCAGAAUCCUCUGGAGAAGACCUGGGGUCCAUGGAUGCAGAGCAGGCUGAACAGACGGCGAGGCUCCUCGGUGCCCCAGUUCACCAACUCCCCGACCAUGAUCGUGAUGGUGGGCCUCCCGGCACGAGGGAAAACCUACAUCUCUACGAAGCUCACCAGGUACCUGAACUGGAUCGGCGUCAAAACCAAAGUGUUUAAUGUGGGGCAGUACCGCAGACAGGCCACGUGCUCCUACAACAGCUACGAGUUCUUCAGACCCGACAACGAGGAGGCCAUGAAGAUCCGCAAGGCCUGUGCCGUCGCUGCCCUCCAAGAUGUGUGUGAGUACAUCACCAGGGAGCAGGGUCAGGUGGUGGUUUUUGAUGCCACGAACACCACCCAGGACCGCAGAGAGGUCAUCCUGAACUUUGCCAAAGAAAACGGCUACAAGGUUUUCUUUGUGGAGUCGAUAUGCGACGACCCCGACAUCAUCGCUGAGAAUAUUAAACAAGUGAAGCUGAGCAGCCCGGACUACGCCGGCUGUGACAAAGAGGAGGCCGUGGCCGACUUCCUGAAGAGGAUCGAAUGUUAUACGAUGACCUACGUCCCCCUCGAUGACACCAAGGACAGGAACUUGUCUUACAUUAAAAUCUUCAACGUGGGCAGCAGAUACCUGGUGAACCGGGUCCAGGACCACAUUCAGAGCCGGAUCGUCUACUACCUCAUGAACAUCCACGUCACCCCGAGGUCCAUCUACCUGUGUCGCCACGGUGAGAGCGAACUGAACCUCGUGGGUCGCAUCGGAGGCGACUCUGGGCUUUCCUCUCGCGGGGCAAAGUUUGCCAGCACUCUGGGGACCUACAUGCGUGGGCAGUGCAUCAGCGACCUGAAGGUGUGGACGAGCCACAUGAAGAGGACCAUCCAGACCGCAGAGGCUCUGGGAGUCCAGUACGAACAGUGGAAAGCUCUCAAUGAGAUCGACGCCGGGGUUUGUGAGGAGAUGACGUACGAGGAGAUUCAGGAGCAUUUCCCCGAGGAGUUCGCGCUGAGGGACCAAGACAAGUAUCGCUACCGCUACCCUAAAGGAGAGUCGUACGAGGACCUCGUUCAGCGUCUGGAGCCGGUCAUCAUGGAGCUGGAGAGGCAGGAGAACGUUCUAGUCAUCUGUCACCAGGCAGUCAUGAGGUGUCUGCUGGCCUACUUCCUGGACAAGAGUGCUAACGAGCUGCCGUACCUGAAGUGUCCUCUGCACACGGUUCUGAAACUCACUCCAGUCGCUUACGGUCAGUCUCGCCUUCUUCUGCCUCUGACUUGAACGUCCUCCUCUGUUGGUAGCAUUAAAACGAGCUCGUUCUGCAGCGUAAACUAGCAAACACAAAGUUGCAAAGUGGAAUCCGUCUUCCUGAACAUCGAGGCCGUCAACACACACAGAGACAAGCCGGUGAACGUCGACGUGGACCGAGACCCGGCCGAGGCCCUGGAG
Pelmatolapia mariae (spotted tilapia) is the source of this 1981-nucleotide RNA transcript. It is a transcript of the gene named 6-phosphofructo-2-kinase/fructose-2,6-bisphosphatase, with no coding region annotated. NCBI's taxonomy places the organism in Eukaryota, Metazoa, Chordata, Actinopteri, Cichliformes, Cichlidae. The record is from RefSeq and is a predicted model, not a curated record. The transcript has 14 exons.